GAUGAACGCUGGCGGCGUGCCUAACACAUGCAAGUCGAACGGAACACUCGUUUUCGGAUGAGUGUUUAGUGGCGAACGGGUGAGUAACGCGUGAGUAACCUGCCUUUCAGAGGGGGACAACAGCUGGAAACGGCUGCUAAUACCGCAUAACAUAUUCGGACGGCAUCGUCUGAAUAUCAAAGAUUUAUCGCUGAAAGAUGGACUCGCGUCUGAUUAGCUAGUUGGUGAGGUAAUGGCUCACCAAGGCUUCGAUCAGUAGCCGGACUGAGAGGUUGAACGGCCACAUUGGGACUGAGAUACGGCCCAGACUCCUACGGGUGGCUG
Molecule: ribosomal RNA, 324 nt
Filed under: uncultured Bacillota bacterium
Lineage: Bacteria; Bacillati; Bacillota
Description: bacterial SSU rRNA
Rfam family: Bacterial small subunit ribosomal RNA
Source: RNAcentral